Molecule: ribosomal RNA, 504 nt
Filed under: uncultured bacterium
Lineage: Bacteria
Description: partial 16S ribosomal RNA
Rfam family: Bacterial small subunit ribosomal RNA
Source: RNAcentral
AUUGAACGCUGGCGGCAGGCCUAACACAUGCAAGUCGGACGGUAGCACAGAGAGCUUGCUCUUGGGUGACGAGUGGCGGACGGGUGAGUAAUGUCUGGGGAUCUGCCCGAUAGAGGGGGAUAACCACUGGAAACGGUGGCUAAUACCGCAUAACGUCGCAAGACCAAAGAGGGGGACCUUCGGGCUUCUCACUAUCGGAUGAACACAUAUGGGAUUAGCUAGUAGGCGGGGUAAUGGCCCACCCAGGCGACGAUCCCUAGCUGGUCUGAGACGAUGACCAGCCACACUGGAACUGAGACACGGUCCAGACUCCUACGGGAGGCAGCAGUGGGGAAAAUUGCACAAUGGGCGCAAGCCUUAUGCAGCCAUGCCGCGUGUAUGAAGAAGGCCUUCGGGUUGUAAAGUACUUUCAGCGUGGAGGAAGGCGACGCGGUUAAUAACCGCGUCGAUUGACGUUACCCGCAGAAGAAGCACCGGCUAACUCCGUGCCAGCCGCCGCGGUAA